This is a long non-coding RNA of Ostrinia nubilalis (European corn borer), 383 nucleotides long. RefSeq lists it as uncharacterized. The record is from RefSeq and is a predicted model, not a curated record. The transcript is spliced from 2 exons. Lineage: Eukaryota; Metazoa; Arthropoda; Insecta; Lepidoptera; Crambidae.
CUGUCAUGUCAAUUAAAACUCAUGCAAAACUUUGUGAACUUAAAAUCUAAUUCAAAAUAAAAAUAUGAGAACCUGAAACUUCAUGAAAUCCAAGAUAAUUAUGUAACAGCUAUGAGCCGGAGAGGCGACAGUGAUGGCGGGGGUAGCAGAUUGGUUGCCGCUCAUAGGAGGAGUAGCAGUCGGAGUGGGAUUCCUCGCGCUCAUUUACAAGAUGUUCUUCGGUAGAUCGAAGUGUCUCCACGACCGGACCAGGGGGCCCUCCUGGCCCUGCCAAAAACAGAAACCGUGCCCCUACUACAAAGAUGGUUCCAAGCCUUGUUGACAACGUGUUGUAAAGUUGCCUAUUUUGUCUUUUACUCUGAUGCAAUAAAGGAUUAAACUGA